UACGUAGGGGGCAAGCGUUGUCCGGAAUCAUUGGGCGUAAAGCGCGUGUAGGCGGUCCGGUAAGUCCGCUGUGGAAGUCGGGGGCUCAACCCUCGGAUGCCGGUGGAUACUGUCGGGCUUGAGUACGGAAGAGGCGAGUGGAAUUCCUGGUGUAGCGGUGAAAUGCGCAGAUAUCAGGAGGAACACCAAUUGCGAAGGCAGCUCGCUGGGACGUUACUGACGCUGAGACGCGAAAGCGUGGGGAGCAAACAGG
Molecule: ribosomal RNA, 253 nt
Filed under: uncultured bacterium
Lineage: Bacteria
Description: partial 16S ribosomal RNA
Rfam family: Bacterial small subunit ribosomal RNA
Source: RNAcentral